RNAcentral lists this ribosomal RNA (467 nucleotides) under uncultured bacterium. Its description in RNAcentral is "partial 16S ribosomal RNA". It matches the Rfam family "Bacterial small subunit ribosomal RNA", at positions 28 to 506 of the family's 1533-position model. The record is from RNAcentral.
GACGAACGCUGGCGGCGUGCUUAACACAUGCAAGUCGAACGGAAAGGCCCUGCUUUUGUGGGGUGCUCGAGUGGCGAACGGGUGAGUAACACGUGAGUAACCUGCCCUUGACUUUGGGAUAACUUCAGGAAACUGGGGCUAAUACCGGAUAGGAGCUCCUGCUGCAUGGUGGGGGUUGGAAAGUUUCGGCGGUUGGGGAUGGACUCGCGGCUUAUCAGCUUGUUGGUGGGGUAGUGGCUUACCAAGGCUUUGACGGGUAGCCGGCCUGAGAGGGUGACCGGCCACAUGGGGACUGAGAUACGGCCCAGACUCCUACGGGAGGCAGCAGUGGGGAAUAUUGCACAAUGGGCGGAAGCCUGAGGCAGCAACGCCGCGUGCGGGAUGACGGCCUUCGGGUUGUAAACCGCUUUCGCCUGUGACGAAGCGUGAGUGACGGUAAUGGGUAAAGAAGCACCGGCUAACUACGU